Molecule: ribosomal RNA, 550 nt
Filed under: Metatrichia horrida
Lineage: Eukaryota; Evosea; Eumycetozoa; Trichiida; Trichiidae
Description: SSU rRNA
Rfam family: Eukaryotic small subunit ribosomal RNA
Source: RNAcentral
AUAUGCUUGUCCCGAAGCUUAAGCCAUGCAUGCGUCCGAAUAACGAGGCGUAUCUCAGAAUCUGCGAACGGCUCCGUAUACCUGUCACCACCCACCUCCCGCAAGCAUUGUAUGCGGGAAAACCUCGGUAAUUCUAUGGCUAAUACGUAUGACUGAUGGGGCCGGCUGGGCGCAAGCCCGGCCGGUUAUAUGCUUGACCUAGGCGACGCCGCGCGACCAACGGCGGGGCCCCCCGGGGCCCUGUUGGCGGGAGUGCCGGUGAUCUGCACCUGAACCGCGGGUAGGUAAGACCGCGGCCGGGCGCAGAUGGGCGCCAGACCUAUCAACUAGAUGCCCGGGGAGCUCCCGGGCAGGGUGGUAACGGGUACAGAGGAUCAGGGUUCGGUCCUGGAGAGGAAGCCUUAGAGAUCGCUUCUACUUCUAAGGAAGGCAGCAGGCGCGCAACGUUCCCAAUGGGGAGUCCCUGAGGACGUGAGGGGACAUACCGAUGCCUGGCCCAGAAAGCCGGGCAAUCGGAAUGGGGGCCAGCCAAACCCCACACCGAGUAACA